This is a long non-coding RNA of Heterocephalus glaber (naked mole-rat), 5593 nucleotides long. RefSeq lists it as uncharacterized. Lineage: Eukaryota; Metazoa; Chordata; Mammalia; Rodentia; Bathyergidae. The record is from RefSeq and is a predicted model, not a curated record.
UGGGGCAUCAUGCCCAGCGUGUUUGUUUCUUUUUUUUAGCUCAUUGAACAUUUUGGUGUUACAACCCCUCUUCAACCCACUCAGCAUGAUAUUGGAGGAUCUUGUUAGUGUUCAACCUUCUUCUGGGGGCUUGAUCCCUAUACCACUCAGAGAGGAGAAAAUGAUCUGCAAUAAAGUUGACAAUCCAAAGACAAACCAGAUAAUGGCAUACCACUAAAACCAAUUUAAAACAACAACUAUGCCACUAGGAACAACAACAACAAAAAACAACAGUAAUAACAGAGUCAAAGCUAAACCAGUUAUGGAUAUACCAUAAGAAUGAAUAAUAGCUACAACUAUACAACCUUUAACAACAGAAAAGAGAUCUGCAAUAAUAAUAUAGAUACAAAGACAAACCAAAUAUGACACACAGUAAAUAUCUACUAAAAGCAACAGCCAUACCACCAUUAACAAUAGAAAAGAAUUCAGCAAUAAUAGCAUAGUCAACUAAGUAGCUAAAAAUUAAUAAAGUUUAAUAAUAAAAAUGGAGGGGAUGGGGAAGGGGAAGAUAAAACACAUAAAAUUAAAAAAAAAGAUGAGAAGAGAUAUGAGAUUAAAGAGCUAUGAGAUAAAAAUCCAAUUAAAGAAUAAAAGAAAAUACAAUUAGGUAAAAGUAAGAGUAAAAGACAAGCAAAAGAAAAAUAAAAAAAAAUAAAAGCAAAGAGCAAAAGAUAGGAAAAAAAGAAACAAAACAAAACCUUCCAAAAAACCAAAGAAAGAUAGAAAUGAGUCUAAACAAUUCCCCCAUGUGUUUGUUUCUUUCCAGAGACUGUAGUAUAGUAACCCACUGCAUGGGGGUGGGGGACAGUGAGUCACUACUGGGGCCUGUUUUGUUUCCACACCCUCUUUUUAUGUGUGAAUGUGGAAGCCUGCACUGCCUUACUGCUCAGAGGUGUCAGUCCAUGGUGUAGUGUCACCCUUAGGGCUGUGUUCACUGCAGCAGCUCUUAGUGUUGGUGCCCAUCUAUGUGCCAAGUCCCUGCUAUCUGACUAGAUUUAUGGCCCAUGAGCUUAUGAGGUGCCUCCUUUGCUCCAGAGGUCCCUCUGUACACCAAGGAAGUGACAAGGAUCCCAGCCAAAGUGCAUUUCUAAUCACAUAGGCAGACAGGAAGAGCAAACAGACCACGCAGCUCUGUACUGGAAAUAGGGGGUCAAGCAGUGUGCUGGACUCAAUGUCAGCACUUUCAGACACAGCUCCCUCAGAAAACCACAUGACUGGUCUGGCUCCUUACCUCAGAGGGUGGGACUGCCAUGUCCUUCACAACCUGAGCUCACCACUGCUUAAACUUCUUAUGGGACCUGUGAUCAGCCUGCCACUUCUCCAUGACUGUCUCCCCCAGUCACUGCAGUGGGUGAUCCCACCAACGCAGAAGUGCAGUAACUUCUGGUUCCUGUAGUAACUCAGUCCUAAACAAUAACCCUUUCCCCAAAAUGGCUUCUGAGUGUAUCAUUCCCAAGAUGGUGGAAGCUGUGGUGAAUUUCUCCUCCAACCCUAGCCUGACUGAUGCAGAGUCACUUUCAGAGUAAAAGUCCACGAGUAUAGGAAGCUUACAAUAACUGUGGGGUUUUCCUGGGGCUAGUGCUGCCGAUCCUUGUUUCUCCCUGGGGUUUCCAACCCUCUCUGGGCUUACCUCACUUUUGCUGAGAUAGGACCUCCUCCCUAGGAGCCAGAGUUAGCGUUCCAGACCCAAAGCUUUAUUCUUUUCUCUGUGCUGUCUUCACUUUCUCCAGUUUCUCUGGGGCUUAUAGUUUUUCAGCUGGCUCUUUCUUGAUUCCCAAAGCUCUAUUUUUUCUGUUCACUAAAUUCUUUUUUUUUUUUCCAGGUACCUGGGAUCGAAUUCAGGACCUCGCACUUGUGAGGCAGGUGCAGCGCCACGGAGCCAAAUCCCUGGCCUGUUCACUAAAUGCUUGUUUUGUAGCUGUCUUGACUCUUGGUCCCAGAGAGGCUGAAUUUGCUGCUGGCCUUUAUGCUGCCAUUUUUAUUCUCCAAGACUCUUUGGUAUACCAGGAGUGGAGAGGAUGCAUCAUAUUGUAUGACAUUAACAUGAACUCCAGGAUGAGACAGAAGGAUUUAUUUAGGAACUUAUCCGGAGUCAAUGAAUAUUUCCCCCACCAUUUCCUUGCUUCUAAGAUGUUGCCUUCCUGCUGCCAGCUCCGGACAGGGAAAGGGAGGAAGGGCAAGAGACAGCACCCCCGACCUACAGCCCUUUCCAAAACUAGGGCGCUAAGCACCACUCGGAAGCCAUAUUUCUUCAUCUGGCUGAGUUUAUGAGUAAAAUUCAACAUGAAUUUUGGUGAAGACUCUGUUACUCAAAGGACAGGACCAGCCCCUCUUGAAGUCUGCUGCCACAGUAUGGCCCAGAGGCCCCACUGCAAAUUACCCUGUGAGACAAUCUAUGGGCUUCAAGACACUUGUCAGAAGCCCCGGAGGGGUGAGCUGGUGGGAGUGGGGCCCUCUGCAAGCACAGACCCUGCUGAGGUGGAAGUCCGAGUGCUGGUCUCCCGAAUGUCAGGACACGGAGCCAAGGAAAAAGCAGGUACUUAGUCCUUGUCCUCAGCAGGUGGCACAUAGCUCUGCCAAUUGUAGGAGCCAGUCAGCCUUUGCAGUCCAACCAUGGCCCAGCCUCCAGCCACCUCCAUGCUGGCCUUGGGGAUCUAUGACCACCCGGGGGAGCAGUUCUUCAGCUGUGGAGAAGCCACCUGCAGGGCCUACAGCCCAGGGAGGGCUGUGCAGGCUGCACCCCCAUCUUCCAAAGGAGUCGCUGGAUUUCAGGUCAGAGCUUUAUUAGUGAAGCAGACACAGAGGUGGCGAUUUGUCCUGGAUUACCAGUAUGGGUUCCAGAGCCAAAUGCCUGGGUUGGCGUCCAGUUCCGCCACUUGGGGUCGCAGGAUCUUAGCACAUCUCUACCCCUUUGACUCGUUUCCUUCUACAAAAUCAGCAUAGUAAUGGCAGUUCCUACCGCAAGGGAGUGGGUGAAGCAUGUGUAAAGUGCCUGGCACAGAAUAAGUAUGAGAUGAAGGCCUGUUACCGUGGAUAUUACCCUAUUCCCCGCAGUGUCCAGGGAAGCCCGUCUCUGUCCCUGGGAAAGCCACCAGCAGCAGUGAAGGCACCAGGGCUCUUCAGGAGGCACCCACUCUGCCGCCUGCCACCCUUUAUGGAUGGUGAGUGCUGCGCCAGCCUUGCUGCGAUGCACCUGGCCUGCAGUAGCCGUUGUCCGAUACUCCUGGCACAGUUCACUUUGAACUGAUUAUUUUAGUUGGUGGUGAGAAGCGGAUACUGCUCACCUGGCCACCGUGUUGCUUAUGAAUCUGGACGCUGGCCAACCACCAAAACCCAGCUCCCUGGAUGAACCCGUGCAAGAGCAUCCAGUUUGCCAGAAAUCAGUCUGUUCAGUUUAUGGACUUACUGUUUCUUGAAAACCAACCUAUCCAAAAUCAAACCACAAGUCGAAUACAAACUUCUGGGGAGGUGAGGCUGCUGUGUAGAAUUUUUUAAGGUACACAGAUUAUGCUCCCACCAGGCCUAAGAGGUGGCACAGGGUGUGGGCUUCACCCAGGCUUGCUGAUGGCCCCCAUGCCCAGCCAAGACCCAGAAGAAAACUAGCUCUGGUGCUGAGUCCACAGCCUGCCCGAGGAGCUGCCAUACUUCUAGCCGUGUGGAAAGGCAGGAGGAUAGUUCUGCCUUGCCUGCCGGCUGCUGGCCUCUCCUGUGGAGACUGUGCAUCAUGAGAGUGGACUGAGAAGCAAUUUCCAGUUGGCAGUGUUCCCAAAGAGGGCGCGUUAUUGCCUUCAUUCUAUUUCAGCUUCCUCUCCGCGUUUCUCAGUUCCGUGGCCUAGGAGCGUGGUCUGUCCCCGUGCGCGUGGUCUUCCAGAGCCCUCGCAGAAAACCUCAAGGCUUUUGCCCCGUUGUGCUCACAGCCCACAGCAGGGAGCGUUCACCCCAGCAGAGCCGGUCCCAGCCAGAUCCUGACUGGCGGAGGGAAUCCUCCAGUGCGCUGUCCUGCUAGAAGGCACGCGUGUGUGGAAAGGCCUCUGGGCCGAGGGCAACUCUCUGCUCAUUGCAUGAGGGUUUUACCAGGGAGAAGUGUUGGGGAGAACGGAGGAGCCCAAGGUCAAGGGCACGGGCAUCUGCAGUCACCCUCGGAGUGGAGUCCGGACGCCCCUGACCCUUCCUCCAGCAGGAGGUGAGUCUCACACUGCCUGCUGCAGAAGGGAUCGCCAGGACCUUCCUGCUCUGUGACACGGGGUGGCAGUAGAGGCCCGGGAACUGCUCCUGGCUAGAGCAGCCAUGGGAAGCCGGCACUUCUCGUGUCUCUUCUAGUCCAGAGGGAACAGGCCGGCUUGUGCUGGAUUUUGAGGAGACGCCUUAUGGUUUCACGAAGCAGUUGGAGGGGACACGGCUCAGGGUUUUCACUGGGAUUGGUUUAAAAGUGCAUUACGGGAUACUCUUCUGUUUGGAGAUUUGAGAGGAGUCAUGACUAACAAAGGCCUGGCAGGAACAAAGACUGGUGUGUCCUGAUCCCAGCCUGUGAUGGUUCACAAGCCCAUCUCUCUCUUCUUGAUUGUUUAGCCUUGGCCCUUGCAGGUCUGCUGUGCCUCUCCUGAGACUGGGCAUGCAGAGGUUCCUAGGGCUCUCCACCACUCACCCUGGUCUCCUUCCGACUGAGCCAAGGUGUGCAGGGUGGCCCUUGCCCACAUGACAAAGUGGGUGGAAGGGACACCCUAGCUUCCUUUCUCAGGGUACCUUCCAGCACACAAUGGGAGGCAGCCAUGUGCAAGCCAGGAAGAAAACCCUCACCAGAAACCAACCCGGUGAUGCUUUGAUCUUGGACUUUCAGCCUCCAGAACUGUGUGUCUGUUGUUAGGCAACCUUUAUUUAGUCAUGGUGACUUCCUAUUUCCCCAGCUCAGAAUCAGGCACAUCAUUGUAGUGGUGGGGCAACCUUGCUGAACUCAGUUUGUCUUCUAGGCACAUACCCUCCAAAACUCCCUUAGCAUUCUAAAGGCCAUCCUUUGGAACACUGGUCAUGCUCACAAACACUUCUGGAUUCUUCUUAUUUUUCCUCAAACUGCAUUCUCUUGUAGAUGGCAGAUGGCAAUCCUGGGAAUGGACCUACAGACUUGUGCAUCUCAGUUCAUGUGCAGGAUUAGUAGUGAUUUAUGACUUAUUUAUUACUUACAAGGGGCAUCACAGGCUGGGUCUUCUCUGUAGCCCCUACAGAGGCCUCACUCAGCAGAUCUCCACACGUUACGCGCAAAGUCCUAACCGUAGUGGCUUUUGGCUGUUCUUCAAAGCACUCACAUAUAGCAGCACAUGGUUGUGCAUCUAGAAAUUUUCAAAUCAUCCCUUCCUAGAUAGGAACAGGAAGGCACCAGCGACACAGGGGUCUAGCCAGUGGCAUGCUGUGUUCUUACUGAACCUGUUUAAAAAGGUAAUUAUCUCUAGAAAUAACUGUAUUCAUUACCAGAUUUUAAAAUGUACAGCUUACCCCCUCUAGCCAUGGGACUCUUAAAUCUGUGUUUUGAUUUGUGAAAAAUGAUCUCAAAUAAAUAUUG